UCGAACGAGUUAGGAAGUUUUCGGAUGGAAGUACUUAGUGGCGGACGGGUGAGUAACGCGUGGGAACCUGCCCUGUACCGGGGGAUAACACUUAGAAAUAGGUGCUAAUACCGCAUAAGUUCACAUGAGAAAAACUCCGGUGGUACAGGAUGGUCCCGCGUCUGAUUAGCCAGUUGGCAGGGUAACGGCCUACCAAAGCGACGAUCAGUAGCCGGCCUGAGAGGGUGAACGGCCACAUUGGGACUGAGACACGGCCCAAACUCCUACGGGAGGCAGCAGUGGGGAAUAUUGCACAAUGGGGGAAACCCUGAUGCAGCGACGCCGCGUGAGUGAAGAAGUAUUUCGGUAUGUAAAGCUCUAUCAGCAGGGAAGAAAAUGACGGUACCUGACUAAGAAGCCCCGGCUAACUACGUGCCAGCAGCCGCGGUAAUACGUAGGGGGCAAGCGUUAUCCGGAUUUACUGGGUGUAAAGGGAGCGUAGACGGCAUGACAAGCCAGAUGUGAAAACCCAGGGCUCAACCCUGGGACUGCAUUUGGAACUGCCAGGCUGGAGUGCAGGAGAGGUAAGCGGAAUUCCUAGUGUAGCGGUGAAAUGCGUAGAUAUUAGGAGGAACACCAGUGGCGAAGGCGGCUUACUGGACUGUAACUGACGUUGAGGCUCGAAAGCGUGAGGAGCAAACAGGAUUAGAUACCCUGGUAGUCCACGCGGUAAACGAUGAUUGC
RNAcentral lists this ribosomal RNA (723 nucleotides) under uncultured bacterium. RNAcentral describes it as "bacterial SSU rRNA". It matches the Rfam family "Bacterial small subunit ribosomal RNA", at positions 62 to 816 of the family's 1533-position model. The record is from RNAcentral.